RNAcentral lists this ribosomal RNA (490 nucleotides) under uncultured bacterium. RNAcentral describes it as "partial 16S ribosomal RNA". It matches the Rfam family "Bacterial small subunit ribosomal RNA", at positions 30 to 507 of the family's 1533-position model. The record is from RNAcentral.
AUUGAACGCUGGCGGCAGGCCUAACACAUGCAAGUCGAACGGUAACAGGAAGAAGCUUGCUUCUUUGCUGACGAGUGGCGGACGGGUGAGUAAUGUCUGGGAAACUGCCUGAUGGAGGGGGAUAACUACUGGAAACGGUAGCUAAUACCGCAUAACGUCGCAAGACCAAAGAGGGGGACCUUCGGGACUCUUGCCAUCGGAUGUGCCCAGAUGGGAUUAGCUAGUAGGUGGGGUAACGGCUCACCUAGGCGACGAUCCCUAGCUGGUCUGAGAGGAUGACCAGCCACACUGGAACUGAGACACGGUCCAGACUCCUACGGGAGGCAGCAGUGGGGAAUAUUGCACAAUGGGCGAAAGCCUGAUGCAGCCAUGCCGCGUGUAUGAAGAAGGCCUUCGGGUUGUAAAGUACUUUCAGCGGGGAGGAAGGGAGUAAAGUUAAUACCUUUGCUCAUUGACGUUACCCGCAGAAGAAGCACCGGCUAACUCCGUG